CCAUCGGUGGUUCAGUGGUAGAAUGCUCGCCUCCCAUGCGGGCGGCCCGGGUUCGAUUCCCGACCGAUGCA
Non-coding RNA from Cordylochernes scorpioides, 71 nucleotides. Lineage: Eukaryota; Metazoa; Arthropoda; Arachnida; Pseudoscorpiones; Chernetidae. The record is from the annotation of a GenBank genome assembly.